UUUUUGUCGUAUAAUUAGUUUUUUUUUUUCUUUAAAGAGAAACGUCUAUAUAAUGGUUUAGCUGUUUCUUAUGGACUUUAAUAAAUCAGAACUAGCAAGCAAUCAUCAUGAAUUCUUAGAAGUGGUUCAAUAUUAAAAAAAAAAAAAUUUUGUAACGGCAGACCUGGCUAUUUGGUUUGAUAUUUAUUAGUAUAACAUAUCUAUAUAUUUAUUAAAAUGUAACGAAAAGUAUUUCACUAUUUCUUAAAAAACAUAUUUUUUUUUUCAAAUUUAAUACAACCAACUUCCUUUUUGUUGUGGGGGUUGUUGGCCUAAUUCAAUGCUUGUUUUUCUCUGUUAUUUCUUCUUCACCCUCUUUGUAUUUAUAUCUCCUUCACUCUGCAAACCCAAGAAAAAAUAUUGAUUUAGCUCAUGUUGUCUCUUUCUUAUCUUCAUAUCUGCCAAAAAAAAAAAAAAACACUGUGAUUUCUAAACUGGUUUAACGGUAAGUACCUGUCUCUCGUAACAUACCUAUCAAUUUGUUCCAAUCAUUUACUUGCUUUGAUUUCUUUUUCGAUCUCUUUUCUUUUGUUUUCUUUCUUUUUAUGUGGGUGAGUUUGGGAUAAUAAGCAACUGAAGAGUCGAUGAGCGCAUUAUCGGACAUCGAAUACGAGAUAUUGGUGCGGUUCAAUCAGAAAACUGUACUCUUUUGUUUUAAAGAUCGGUUUGUUUGAUUGAGCCGUGCCAAUAUCACGUGUUUAAAUAGUUUAAAGAUUAUAUGUUACUAAUUAAUUGAUGUGAUCAAUCAAGGCUCUGAAUUUCGGAUAUUAACAAGAAAAAGGACAAAGGAAAAAAAUUUCAUAUACAUUUGUGAGAAGAUCGUUUAGCGACAAUGAUACAUUUUUUUCCUUUUUUUUUUUACAGAUGAUUUAUGUCACCCAUUAAUGUAAAGAUGUCUGACUAAUGAAUUCAAAAUAUUGUGUAUUUUUCUGAACUUUAAUUUGUUUAUAUUUAUAUUC
This is a long non-coding RNA of Arabidopsis lyrata subsp. lyrata, 998 nucleotides long. RefSeq lists it as uncharacterized. The transcript has 2 exons. The record is from RefSeq and is a predicted model, not a curated record. NCBI's taxonomy places the organism in Eukaryota, Viridiplantae, Streptophyta, Magnoliopsida, Brassicales, Brassicaceae.